GACGAACGCUGGCGGCGUGCUUAACACAUGCAAGUCGAACGGAAAGGCCCUGCUUUUGUGGGGUGCUCGAGUGGCGAACGGGUGAGUAACACGUGGGUAACCUGCCCUUGACUUUGGGAUAACUUCAGGAAACUGGGGCUAAUACCGGAUAGGAGCUCCUGCUGCAUGGUGGGGGUUGGAAAGUUUCGGCGGUUGGGGAUGGACUCGCGGCUUAUCAGCUUGUUGGUGGGGUAGUGGCUUACCAAGGCUUUGACGGGUAGCCGGCCUGAGAGGGUGACCGGCCACAUUGGGACUGAGAUACGGCCCAGACUCCUACGGGAGGCAGCAGUGGGGAAUAUUGCACAAUGGGCGGAAGUCUGAUGCAGCAACGCCGCGUGCGGGAUGACGGCCUUCGGGUUGUAAACCGCUUUCGCCUGUGACGAAGCGGGAGUGACGGUAAUGGGUAAAGAAGCACCGGCUAACUACGUG
RNAcentral lists this ribosomal RNA (468 nucleotides) under uncultured bacterium. RNAcentral describes it as "partial 16S ribosomal RNA". It matches the Rfam family "Bacterial small subunit ribosomal RNA", at positions 28 to 507 of the family's 1533-position model. The record is from RNAcentral.